Long non-coding RNA from Felis catus (domestic cat), 2965 nucleotides. RefSeq lists it as uncharacterized. The record is from RefSeq and is a predicted model, not a curated record. NCBI's taxonomy places the organism in Eukaryota, Metazoa, Chordata, Mammalia, Carnivora, Felidae. The transcript has 4 exons.
GGGCCACGCGGGGGCGGGGACCAGGGGGCGUCUCCCCGGCCGGCGGGAGCCGCUCGGCCCCCGGGGGGCUGCUCAGCGCCGGUGUGAGCCGCGGAGCUCUGCCCUUGGACCCUGAGCGCGGCCAGGGGAGAGGGAGCGCGGCGCGCGCCAACCGCCACCUUGCGCCCUCACGGUCCCUGGCCCGGCUCUCCGCAGCGCAACCGCGUGAGACGGCGAGACGCACUCCAGCCCGCCGCCGGCCGCCGGCCGCCGCGCUCGCGCCUCUGCCUGGAGCUCUGCCGCCUCGGGGUUGUCCCCGGGGACCGCGCGCGCGACCUCGCGCGCUCCUGCCAAGCGGGCCGGACGGAGCGCGCCCCGGGGCGUCCGCGCGCAUCGCCAGGGCGAAGUGAGUGGGGCUUGGCACCUUCCGGCGUCUGGAGCCCGGCCAGCGCCACUCUCGUCCGAAGGGCCCGACCCGGCGGGGGAAAAGUCCGGAACCUCCCCCACUUCGGUGGGACGUCUAACCUCCGGUCUUACAUGACCAGGCCCGAGGGCUCUCCACACUGGCAGUUCCGGCUGCUGAUUUCAGGGGACUCCGGAAGCAGCCAGUGGGACCGCCGUGGUUUCUCUUCAUUUUUCCCGCUACGAUCCCGGGAGCGCAAAGACAAAACCAUGUAUAUGUUGUAUUCUUGUUAUGUAUGGGCGAGAUCUCAGUAGAAAUGUAAAGGAUGAAAAGGAGAGAGUUCGCUGACAUCGCGCCGCCACCAUCACUGCCUGUGUAGUUCCGUUCGCUGUCCCGGCGCCCGUGUGCGCCAGUUCACCUGCACACGCCAGCUCACAGCUGAGGCCGCGGGCAUCUGCGCUGAGGAGCCACGCUCAAGGUGCAGCUUAAUGUCCUGGCCCGCGAGUUGGAGGUCUGGGGAGGCACCCGGUGCCACAGAAACAUCUAGGAGCUGGGCAGAGCUCGUGGAGAGUGGUUAUCCAGAAGAUCCUUAUCGUGCGUUGGGCGCACUAGCUUUCCAAAUCCUGACAUCGGCCGCCCGGAGGAAGCAAAGAAAAAGCAUCCCUUGGGUGCCUUGGAAGCCAGAGCGAAGGCCAGAGUGUCCCGUGGCCUGGAAAGAAGUUUGCUGGGGGUCUCAAAGCCCACGCGUCCUCCUCCCACAGCCACGUGAAGGAACAUUCUGGGGAUGCGUUCUCUGGAACGUGGCAACUAACGGAAUUCCCUGAAAAAUGGUUUCUUCUCUCCCCAGACUGAAGAAUGACAGAGAUCCCCAGCUGGGGUUGCAGCCAUUUAAGAAACUGUAGCACUCUUGCUUUUGUGCCCUCCCCAGCCCCACCCCGCCAGGGAGCGCUUCACCGUUACCAAAGUGAGAAAAAAGGCUGGAUUAAAAAACUGAGGCUCAAAGAAGUUCAGCCACCUGACCAGCUAUUAAGUGGUGGUGCUGUAGAUUGAACCCCAGUCUUCAUCACCCCUAGGAUCGGACUUUUAACUACUCUGUAUGGUGGCAUGGUGCAUCUUGGUAUUAUGGGCUUUUGAGACCAGAAGUUUCUCUGCUAAAUCCUGGCUGGAUAUCUCUGAUAUCUGUCUCCAAUCUCUCUCUCUUUCAUCUCCCAUCUCUCCACAUGACCUGGAUUCUCUUUUCCAUCCCCCUGAGGUAAACCAGAGGUUUAUGUAUUUUGUUGUGUUUUUCAAAGAACCAGCAUUUGGAUAUGUUUACCAUUUCUGCUGUUUUCUUCUACUUUUUAGUAGAAAAAACACAUCAGUGAAUUUUUGCCACAUCAGCGAAUUGAUGAGGAUCCGGGGGUCUGGGGCCCUGCUAGGACAUCCCCUCCGAAGUAAAAGACGAAAUAUUGUGUCUCGCGUCAUCUACCACCAAAAUGAAACACAACCUUUGCUUGCCCUCUUUGAGUCCUGGAGGCAGCAUAUUUAUUUUACACUUGGGAUACUGCUCUGAUCCAGUCAUGUAUCAGGUGACACAUAAGGCUGCCAGUUGUGUUAUGUUUUUUGUUUUCAAGUAAUCUCUAUACCCAGAGUGGGGCUCGAACACGUGACCCCGAGAUCAAGAGCCGCGCGCUCUACGGACUAAGCCCAGCCAGGCGCCCCAAGGCUGCCGGUGUUGAACAAGGCACUGAGACCAGGGGAGGACUCUGCAGUAGGUCCGGGCUGUGGGGCAGGUCACCCUGUUGCUUGGGUCACAUGACACAGGAGACCCUAUGGUGCUAGAGGGGUUUGUGGAAGGAAAACAUACCGUGCAGAAUUUAUUAUAAGCCGCAGUAGGAGAAUCGCAGUAGACACACGUGAAUUCUGGAGCAAGCCAUGGCAUGUACCGCAGAGAAGUACAUACCAUGUGAAAAAUAGCCAGGCCCUGCUAGAGGCAGAACCUCUGAUCCUGCUGACCGUGGGAUAUCAAGUGACUACGUGGCAGAAAUGCUCUAUUAUAUUUCUACUCAUGUGUAACGAAUUAUCACAAAUGUAACAGCUUAAGGGAACACAAAUUUAUUACCUCAUAAAUACAUAGGUCAGAAGUCCAGCGUGGCUCAGAUGGGUUCCCCUCUUAGGGUAUCAUAAGGCCAAAAUCAAGAUGUUAGCCAGGCUGAGUUCUUUUUUUUUUUUUUUUUUUUUUCUUUUUGAGGGAGAGAUAGAGAGAGAGAGAGAGAGAGAGAGAGAGAGAGAGAGAGAGAGAGAGAACAGGGGAAGGGCAGAAAGAGAAUCUUAAGCAGAUUUCACACCCAGUGUGGAACCCAACCCACGCCGGGCUUGACCUUAAGACCUUGAGAUCACGACCUGAGCUGAAGUCAAGAGUUGGCUACUCAGCUGACUGAGUCACCUACGCGCCCCCAGGCUGUUCUUAUCUGAAUUCAGGCUGUUGACCAAGUUCAGUUCUUUGUGGUUGUAGGGCUGGUUUGUUUCUUUAACAUUUUUUUAACAUUUACUUUUUAAAUAAAAUCUUUAAAGGUUUAUUUUCAAUUGAGAGAGAAUAUGAGC